This 460-nucleotide ribosomal RNA is filed under the name uncultured bacterium. Its description in RNAcentral is "partial 16S ribosomal RNA". It matches the Rfam family "Bacterial small subunit ribosomal RNA", at positions 338 to 795 of the family's 1533-position model. The record is from RNAcentral.
CCUACGGGGGGCAGCAGUGAGGAAUAUUGGUCAAUGGGCGGAAGCCUGAACCAGCCAAGUAGCGUGCGGGAUGAAGGCCCUACGGGUCGUAAACCGCUUUUGCACGGGGAUAACACCCUCCACUUGUGGAGGUCUGCAGGUACCGUGCGAAUAAGGGCCGGCUAAUUCCGUUCCAGCAGCCGCGGUAAUACGGAAGGCCCGAGCGUUUACCGGAUUCAUUGGGGUUAAAGGGAGCGUAGACGGCAGCGCAAGUCUGGAGUGAAAUCCCAUGGCUUAACCAUGGACCUGCUUUGGAAACUGUGCAGCUGGAGUGCAGGAGAGGUAAGCGGAAUUCCUAGUGUAGCGGUGAAAUGCGUAGAUAUUAGGAGGAACACCAGUGGCGAAGGCGGCUUACUGGACUGUAACUGACGUUGAGGCUCGAAAGCGUGGGGAGCAAACAGGAUUAGAUACCCUAGUAGUC